UCCCCCCAGAAGUACCAAGGCACAAAAGUAGGAAGGACAAAACACAUCAGCACUACUGAACUCUUAUAGUACCUGUGAAGAAAGGAGAAGGGUCACCAGGUAACACCACACAAGACAUCGUUGCCUACGUUGCUGAAAUCCAAGUUACUUCUAAAUGGAUUUGAGAUUCCAAAGAAAACAGCAGAAUGGUUUAGAAUAUUAGCAAUGAUAUGGGCUCCAGAGCAGGUUGUAUCAGUUUUCUCUCUUCCAUGUUAUCCUCACAACAUCCCUAUGAAGUCAAUUAGGCAGAGAGUGUGUGACUGUCUCCGAGAGUCACCUGGCAAGCUUCCAUGGCAGAGUGAGGGAUUCGAACCUGGAUUUACCCUGAUCCUAGUCCACCACUUCAGCCACGACGCCACGCUGGAUUCCUACAUACAAGCUCCCUUUUAUCAUACGAUACCCCAAACUGGAUGGCCCA
Sphaerodactylus townsendi is the source of this 457-nucleotide long non-coding RNA. RefSeq lists it as uncharacterized. NCBI's taxonomy places the organism in Eukaryota, Metazoa, Chordata, Lepidosauria, Squamata, Sphaerodactylidae. The transcript has 3 exons. The record is from RefSeq and is a predicted model, not a curated record.